AGAAAGAAAAAAAAAACCUAAACAUAAAAAACACACCCGCCCCCCUCUCUAAUUUUCUCAAAACCACCCUCUCAAUCCCUAGGAAAUCUCCCUAGCCGUCACACCCGAACGUUCCCUGUCCCCUACGUCUUCCUCACGAGCAUCCAUCGACGACCACUCAGUCGUAGUCUCCGAUGUCCACUGCCCAGCCCGUCGUUCUCCAUCCUCAUCCCGUCGUCUGCAGCUGACCCCACUGCCCAGCGACCACGACCCAGCCCCACGACCAACUUUUUUCGUCAGCAGCUUCUGCUUCAGCGUCACAACCAGCCCGUCGUCCACUCCAAUCAUCCAUAAAUCCCAUCAUCCAUCAGCAACCAUAAACAACUAACGCUUCUACUUCGUCGUUCUUCUGUUUCGAACCCAUAACGUCCCUCUAUUUGUCGUCCUCGCCGUUGUUGAAGUUGUACGGUCAAGUUCAAAUUCGGGAAACAGUUUGUUGUUCGAGGCCGUUGGUUUGAAAAUCGUCGUGUUGAGUCCCGGUCUCAAUGGUCUAUUCGAUUAGUCCAUGUAACUGCUAGAGUUUCAUUAAGUGAAAGAAAUUUCAGGUUUAUUUCUGAUUUUCAUGUAUUUAAUGGGUUAUAAGUGAUUUGUGAUUUACAUAUGUUUAUGUGAAUAAUGUAGUCCUUUUGCUUCUUAGUUUGUUUCUUCUAAUUUUUUGUUUUUGUUUUUUGUUUGAAGAAUUCGAACUAGUUAGUAAAGCUUUUUUUAAAAUUGUAGUUGUUCGGUGUUAUUGUUUAGCUCAAAUGGUUUUAGUUUGUAGGAUGUUUGUUUCUUUUUGUUGUUUGUCAUAUGGAUUAAAUUUGCAUUUCGACUCAGUUAAAUUGUGAUUCAUAUUGUUUUAACUUAUUUUGAUAUGUAUAAUUCAAUCUGAGUUCAUUGGAUUUAUUUAUUUAAUAUGAUUAGGUGAAUUGGUUAUAUCUAUAGUGAUUUGGUGAUUAAUUAGGAAUCAUUUUUGGUCAGCUAUAAUUUUGUUACAGAUUGAAAUUUUGGGGGUAGAAUACUAAUUUUAGUAGUUUUAGGGGUAAUACGGGAGUUAACCAAUUGCAGAUUUAUUUAAUUUAAGUGCUCUGUCCACUAAGCUCAAUAAUAGUAAAAUAUUAUAGUGGGGAACAAGACAUAUGGUAGUGGAAAUCUAAUAUACUUAUUUAAGUGCUGGUAGGGAACAAGACAUAAUGAUGUAAAGUAAAAGGGGUGGGGGGAGUAUGGGGUCCAUAUUGAUGCUUUUACUUAAAUAGAAAUCAGAAAUAGUAUAGGUAAUAAUAAAAGUUAAAAGAUACACAUAGUUAGAGCAAUAUUAGGCUAGAAAGUAAAGAGUGGUAAAAGGUUUAGUAAUAAUAGUUUAAAAGUGAAAGUUAAUAGUUAAAGGGUAGAAGAAAGGGUCUUGUCUUUUGAGUACUAAAUAUGGGUGAUUUGACACUUAAAGGGGACUGAAUUUGGACAUCAAAAUUUUCUAAACUCAAUAAAAAAGCGAGACUUUUAAUCUGAAGGGCGAAGGAUGGAGAGAAAAGGAUUGACUUUCAAAAUCGUAGAGAGAAUAUUGCGACCUUAAAUUUGGACUGAUUUUUCUUUUAAUCGGGAUGAGUCAGUAGUUUGAGAGUGUACUAUUUCGCGUGUUAAAGAAUAGAAAAUCAGAACUAUCCCAUUGCAUCUUUAGUUUCUGGUUCAUCCUGUUCUGCCUGUUAGUUUUAUUGGCAUUUCUGGACUUUCGUUUGGUUUUUCCUAAGUUUGGUUAGUUUUUGGGUUACUGUUUCACUGGUUGUUGGUGUUUUUCCGGAUGGUAUCCAAAUCUGUUUCUGAGCUAUUGCACUGCUGUUCUGUUGACUUUGUUGUUGUGUUGUCACAACUACUGCUGUUGAUCAUUCCUUUUUCUUCUCCAUUAUAUUCCAUUUCCAGGUACACGUUUCGAAUCACCACGAUGUAACUUAAAUUGAAGUUGAAAUGGAAGUAUGCAGCAAACCUGCAGAUUGGGAUGUUAUUUGUUGUCUUUAACUCAAUAGAUGUUAAAUGAAGUAGAAUCAUUCAAUAUUAUUUGUUUAUAUGAUGUAUGAAUAAUAGAAACAUGACUGUGUAACUAGAAUUGUGUUAGGCAUUUGGGCUAUUUUUUUCUUUUUAUGAUGAGACAUUAAACUAUGUAUGUAGCUUUUCAAUGUUAUAUCCAGUAGUGGUAAUCUAAAA
Molecule: long non-coding RNA, 2214 nt
Filed under: Nicotiana benthamiana
Lineage: Eukaryota; Viridiplantae; Streptophyta; Magnoliopsida; Solanales; Solanaceae
Description: long non-coding RNA (NBEN_LNC014008)
Source: RNAcentral